AUACGGAGGGUCCGAGCGUUAAUCGGAAUUACUGGGCGUAAAGCGCGCGUAGGUGGUUCAGUCAGUCAGAUGUGAAAGCCCCGGGCUCAACCUGGGAACUGCACCUGAUACUGCUGAGCUAGAGUACGGUAGAGGGCAGUGGAAUUUCCGGUGUAGCGGUGAAAUGCGUAGAGAUCGGAAGGAACACCAGUGGCGAAGGCGACUGCCUGGACUGAUACUGACACUGAGGUGCGAAAGCGUGGGUAGCAAACAGGAUUAGAUACCCUGGUAGUCCACGCCGUAAACGAUGUCAACUAGCCGUUGGGGGACUUGAUCCUUUAGUGGCGAAGCUAACGCGAUAAGUUGACCGCCUGGGGAGUACGGCCGCAAGGUUAAAACUCAAAUGAAUCGGCGGGG
RNAcentral lists this ribosomal RNA (396 nucleotides) under uncultured bacterium. RNAcentral describes it as "partial 16S ribosomal RNA". It matches the Rfam family "Bacterial small subunit ribosomal RNA", at positions 523 to 918 of the family's 1533-position model. The record is from RNAcentral.